AGCGUAUAGAAGAUCUUUAUCUAUACUAUCUAUAAUAUAUAUAUAAAAGCGUAUAGAAAAAAUCUUACAAUGACAGAUGGAAUAAAAAUAAAAAUAAAAGAAUAUUCCCUACUUUUAUGAUCAAUUUGUUAGAAAAUAUUUCAAAUAAGAACGAACUAUUAUGAUCAAUUUGUUAAAAAAUAUCUUAAAUAAAAAUAAAUGGUUAUGAUCAAUCAAUUAAAAUAGCAUUCAUAUACAUCUAUUUUACAUUAAAACUAAAUUUAUUUUUAAAAUCAUAAUAAAAUCCAUCAAGUGGGUAUAAAAUAAAUGGUCGAAAUUGCACGACCUCCUAAAAAUUAAGGAUUAGAUUCUAUAAUUUAAGAUCGGAGUUAGAGAUCACUCUCUCGAUAGUGAAUAAAAUUUUCUAGCAAAAAUUCAAUCGAUUUUAAUUCUUUUACACCGUUAAACUAGCGAGCAUUCCAUAUCGACCGUUAAAAAAUGUCAACUUUGAGAUCUUUUGAUCGUAAGGUAGAUAAUGCCGAAAAAUUAUGAUAUUUAAUUUCUAAAAGUUUUAAAUGCUUUAAAUUAUGUUUAACGAUAAAAAUCGCCAAUUCAAAUACUCUAUCAUUGAAACAACUAAUGAGUACGAAGUCAAUCGUACUCAUAAGAGUAUAUAAGCUGAACUCAUUGCAGAUAUUUCUAAUAAAAUAUAAUAUACAAAUUUAUAAAAUUUAAUUUUUAUUAUAAUUUUUUGGAUAAAUAUGAUUUACAAAUUUAUAUUGAUAUGAAUUAAAUUAAAAUAAUUGUUACGUACAUUUGCACGUAAACUCAAUUAGUUAUAAC
RNAcentral lists this long non-coding RNA (822 nucleotides) under Ananas comosus (pineapple). RNAcentral describes it as "long non-coding RNA (ACOM_LNC006221)". The record is from RNAcentral. Lineage: Eukaryota; Viridiplantae; Streptophyta; Magnoliopsida; Poales; Bromeliaceae.